This 84-nucleotide transfer RNA is filed under the name Echinostoma caproni. It matches the Rfam family "tRNA". Rfam says of the family: Transfer RNA (tRNA) molecules are approximately 80 nucleotides in length. Their secondary structure includes four short double-helical elements and three loops (D, anti-codon, and T loops). Lineage: Eukaryota; Metazoa; Platyhelminthes; Trematoda; Plagiorchiida; Echinostomatidae. The record is from Rfam by way of RNAcentral.
GGUCUCGUAGCUCAACUGGUAGCGCGUGCGCUGUGCAAAAGCGUAGGCGGCGUCCAUGCAUGGGUUCGAAUCCCACUGAGGCUA